GUACUGUUUUUGCUUUGGUUGCUUUCUUUCUUCAAUCGAUGCCACCCAGUUGCCUUCUUCAUUUCUUUGAUAUAUCUUUUUGCGGUUCACGAGAGGUAUGUUAUGAGAUUGAGGAGGAAAUUGCAGUUCCAUGAAAGAAAGCAAGCCAAUCAGAAAAGAGUGCUCUCUGAUUCUGAAACUGUUCGUUGGUUGAACCAUGCUGUGGAAAAGAUAUGGCCCAUUUGUAUGGAGAAUAUUGUAUCGCAGAAGAUUCUACUCCCG
RNAcentral lists this unclassified non-coding RNA (261 nucleotides) under Hevea brasiliensis (rubber tree). Lineage: Eukaryota; Viridiplantae; Streptophyta; Magnoliopsida; Malpighiales; Euphorbiaceae. The record is from RNAcentral.